RNAcentral lists this ribosomal RNA (330 nucleotides) under uncultured eukaryote. RNAcentral describes it as "partial 18S ribosomal RNA". It matches the Rfam family "Eukaryotic small subunit ribosomal RNA", at positions 1470 to 1796 of the family's 1831-position model. The record is from RNAcentral.
CCCUUAGAUGUUCUGGGCCGCACGCGCGCUACACUGAUGCAUUCAACGAGUCUAAAACCUGCUCUGAUAGGGGUGGGUAAUCUUUUGAAUGUGCAUCGUGAUUGGGAUAGAUGAUUGCAAUUUUUCAUCUUCAACGAGGAAUGCCUAGUAAACGCAAGUCAUCAGCUUGCAUUGAUUACGUCCCUGCCCUUUGUACACACCGCCCGUCGCUCCUACCGAUUGAAUGAUCCGAUGAAUAUCAUAGACUGAGAGUAUAAGCAGGUUCGCCUGUCUUUGCUUCUCGGGAAGUGAAGUAAAUCUUAUCAUUUAGAGGAAGGAGGAGUCGUAACA